CAGUCGUGCUGGCGCGAAAUCAACCCUCUCGUCGGGAGACCACAUGUUGUGACGAGCCUCAAAACCGCCACGGCGUGUGAUAUCAAGAUGAGGGGGAGCACUUUCUGGGCGGCGCGUCAAGAUCGGUUCGUGGCGGUGGAGAAGAGGCGUUGGACGGACUUGUCAUGGCCGGCGCCGGAUACACUGCUGGGGACGGAGGAAUGGCGGCGUGUGCCCUCCGUGUGGGGGCUGGGUUGACUGGUGUGUGUGUGGGAUGCGUUGUGGGCAGCGUGCUGAGCAGCGACGUACUCGGUGGACAGU
This 300-nucleotide ribosomal RNA is filed under the name Entrophospora candida. RNAcentral's name for it is "Claroideoglomus candidum ribosomal RNA". Lineage: Eukaryota; Fungi; Glomeromycota; Glomeromycetes; Entrophosporales; Entrophosporaceae. The record is from RNAcentral.